UAGGUUUUGCAAAAUAAAAAAAAAAAUCAAAGUUUUGUUGUAAAAAUCAAUUGAAUUAUAUUCAGAGUAACGAUGAGAAGUAAAUUAUUUCAUGAUAUCUAUAUCUAUAUCUAUAUUAUAUAUAAAAGCAUAUAGAAAUUCCAACAAUAAUAGACGGAAUUCAAAAAGAAUAAAAUAAUAUUCUCCAUAUUUUCUACGAACGAGUAUGAUCACUUAAUUAAAACAAUCUUAAAUAAAAACGAACGAUUAUGAUUAAUCUGUUAAAAAAUAAUAUUCUUAUCCAUCUAUAAAGGAAUCGAAAUAGAAAAAAAACUAUAUUUUUUAUGAGCGGAUAUGAUGAUUUAAUUAGAAAAAUCUCAAAUAAGAACGAACGGUUAUGAUUAAUUUGUUAAAAAAUAGCAUUCUUAUUCAAAAAUUUUAUUUAUAGUAGAUCAAAAUUAAAUUUUAAAUUUUGAAAUAAAUAUGAAUUAAA
Molecule: long non-coding RNA, 472 nt
Filed under: Ananas comosus (pineapple)
Lineage: Eukaryota; Viridiplantae; Streptophyta; Magnoliopsida; Poales; Bromeliaceae
Description: long non-coding RNA (ACOM_LNC010944)
Source: RNAcentral